UUUUUUAAGAGUUUGAUCCUGGCUCAGGAUGAACGCUGGCGGCGUGGAUAAGGCAUGCAAGUCGAACGGGCCGCAUCUCAUGGUGUGUGAUGCGGAAAUUCGAAGCACGAAAUACGAAAUACGAAACAAACACUAAUGACCAAAAUACAAAUGACAAAAACAGCUGUUUGUAGUUUCUAUCAUUUGAAUUUAGAAUUUGUUUCGAAUUUCGAUAUUCGAAUUUCGAGUUUUCCGCAAUCGCGCUUCGCGCGAUGCGGCUAGUGGCAGACGGGUUAGUAACACGUAGGUAGCUACCCCCCACUUGAGAAUAAGCCACCGAAAGGUGGUCUAAUACUCAAUGGUCUCGUAAGAGUAAAGCUUUUGCGGUGGGGGAGGCGCCUGCGGCCUAUCAGCUUGUAGGUAAGGUAAUGGCUUACCUAGGCUAUGACGGGUAGGGGGUGUGAGAGCAUGACCCCCAACAAGGGCACUGAGACACUGGCCCUACUCCUACGGGAGGCUGCAGUCGAGAAUCUUCCGCAAUGGGCGAAAGCCUGACGGAGCGACGCCGCGUGCAGGAUGAAGGCCUUAGGGUUGUAAACUGCUUUUAUAAGAGAAGAAGGCCGCAUCUCACGGUGUGUGAUGCGGAAAUUCGAAGCACGAAAUACGAAAUACGAAACAAACACCAAUGACAAAAUAUAAAUGACAAAAACUGUUUAGAAUUUAUGUCAUUAGAAUUUUGAAUUUGUUUCGAAUUUCGAUAUUCGAAUUUCGAAUUUUUCGCAAUCGCGCUUCGCGCGAUGCGGCUUGACGGUACCUUAUGAAUAAGGGGUUGCUAAACUCGUGCCAGCAGCAGCGGUAAUACGAGUACCCCAAGCGUUAUCCGGAAUCAUUGGGCGUAAAGCGUUCGUAGGCGGUUUUGUUAGUCUUGUGUUAAAUAUCUGGGCUUAACCCAGUUGCUGCGCAAGAAACGGCAAAACUAGAAGGUGUGAGAGGUCUGUGGAACUCAUGGUGUAGGGGUGAAAUCCGUUGAUAUCAUGGGGAACACCAAAGGCGAAGGCAGCAGACUGGCGCAACCUUGACGCUGAGGAACGAAAGCUAGGGUAGCGAACGGGAUUAGAUACCCCGGUAGUCCUAGCCGUAAACUUUG
RNAcentral lists this non-coding RNA (1126 nucleotides) under Candidatus Spechtbacteria bacterium RIFCSPLOWO2_02_FULL_38_8. RNAcentral describes it as "bacterial SSU rRNA". It matches the Rfam family "Bacterial small subunit ribosomal RNA", at positions 1 to 811 of the family's 1533-position model. Lineage: Bacteria; Candidatus Spechtiibacteriota. The record is from RNAcentral.